This 415-nucleotide ribosomal RNA is filed under the name uncultured eukaryote. Its description in RNAcentral is "SSU rRNA". It matches the Rfam family "Eukaryotic small subunit ribosomal RNA", at positions 592 to 1018 of the family's 1831-position model. The record is from RNAcentral.
CAAUAGCGUAUAUUAAAGUUGUUGCAGUUAAAAAGCUCGUAGUUGGAUUUCUGGGAGGGUGCCAAUGUCCGUCGUCGUACGUGUUGCAGCGGCGCCCUUCCAUCCUUCUGUUAACGACUUUGGGCAUUCACUUGCCGGAGUCGGGCUCAGAUAUUUUACCUUGAGAAAAUUAGAGUGUUUCAGGCAGGCUAGGCCGGAAUACAUUAGCAUGGAAUAAUGGAAUAGGACUUAGUCUCUUUGUUGGUUCGAGGGACUGGAGUAAUGAUUAAUAGGGAUAGUUGGGGGCAUUAGUAUUUAUUAGCUAGAGGUGGAAUUCUCUAAUUUGAUAAAGACUAACUUAUGCGAAAGCAUUUGCCAAGGAUGUUUUCAUUAAUCAAGAACGAAAGUUAGGGGAUCAAAGAUGAUCAGAUACCAU